This 13473-nucleotide long non-coding RNA is filed under the name Paramuricea clavata. Lineage: Eukaryota; Metazoa; Cnidaria; Anthozoa; Malacalcyonacea; Plexauridae. The record is from RNAcentral.
UAAUUAAACAAUUGGUUAAAUAUAACUAUUACGUGUUUAUUGUUGAUGGAAACGAAAAUACAGCUUGAAUGUGUGAGGUAUUAUAUACAAAAUAUUUAUAUAGAAAGUAGUCUAUAUAGAUUGUAGUAGCUAGAAAUCACUAGAUCACGAUUACGAUUAGCAUUUCUAUAGACUAUACUUAUGGCGCAAGUAUUUAUAUCAAAUGCAACAGGUAUUUAUACGCUUACCUAAAAUUUACAUACUUAGCCUGGACUAUUUUAUCUUUCCAACAAUUGUGAUAUUACUUUCUUAACUGUGUUUAUUCUAACCCAACCAGUCUCUGGAUCACCCGGAGAAAAGACACGAUUUUUAAGCCUAGCGUUGGAAAAGAGAACUGACUCUUCAGUUUUCACACGAGUCCGUAGCACACGAGUCGAACACACGAACUCAGAGAUAAAAUAGGCACGUACCCCGCUGUUUGAUAUUGCCUGUAUUAUGUAAGAAUGCAGCAUUAUUGUGUGUAUCAUGCAAACCUGAUUCAAUGUGGGCCCAUUGUAAUUUAGGGCAAUGUUUUUUAUAAACAAGUGAAGUUGUAAAGUAAACAUAUAACCAAUCAAAAUUGUGUGUUCAAUAGAGUAAUAUACAUGAAAAAAUUUCUCAAUUCUAAUUGGCAAAGACCAGUGCAAUUUUUUCGAAAUACAGUGGAAAAAAAUGAAAUACAGUGCAAAUUUCUUAAUUUUCUUAAUUUUUUAUUUUUCAAAUUUCUUAAUUUUCUUAAUUUUGUAAUCUCUAAUUGCAUAAUUGCAUAUUUUUUUCAUGUAUAUUAUUAAUAACUAAUAGUAUGGUUUUCUCAUGGAAUUUGUAAAAACAUACACUCCUGAAUUUUUCAAAUGUUGUUCGGAUUCGUGCAAUUUUGAUAGCCUUUGGAAAACUCAUUUGUGCAUUUUUUUUCCCAAAUUGCAUGCGAAACCAUACUCUAGAGAUGUAUGGGAGGAAGAAAAUCAGGGGGAGAAAGAAAUUUACCUGACUUUUUUACUUUUUUCCCAUUGUGCCAGAAAAUUUUUUCCUAUUUCUUACUACUUUUACAUAUUUCUGGUAUUUUCAAAUACUAUAUUGCAUAUGUCUUCUAUUUAAAGUUAUUUCCCUAAAUGUUUGCCCAAAUUAUGUUUAUAAUUGCCUGACUUAAUUUUGACUGGGGGCAUCUGCCCCCCCCCCCCUCCACUCCCCCCCCCAUUCCUAUGAUUAUCUAUACUAACAAGAUGUCGGUUCAGGCGUUCAUUCUGGGUACAGGCCCGGACCUCCACUUUUUUAGUUGGGGGGGGGGGGGCUAAUUGUCUUUGCCCCCCCCACUUUUUAACAAUGUUCAGUAAUAAACCACAAAGUUUAAUGAUAUUAUUUCAGUGAAGCGUGUAGACAAAAUAAUUUGAGAUAUUUUAUGACAUACUUUUAGCCUACAGAUUCUGUACUAAAACCACUAAUUCUGUUUUGUAUUGGCGUGGUUUAAUCAAAUAAUCUCCCUGUUGAACCAGAGCCUUCGCGACGUUUCAAUUUAUUAUUUACUGUUGAAGGCUCUGGAAUCCAGGGUACCAUACCUUCAGAACUCUUUAAAUCUCCUUCUAAAGUGCAGAAAAUAGCAUUUGAGAGAUUCUAAUUAAAAUUUUCCCGGGGGCAUGCCCCUGGACCCCCUAGAAUGUCACAUGCCAUCACCUGCCUUCACUGGGCGCUAAGUGUGCUCCCCCACUUUUACAGCCACUCUCACGCCUCUGUGAAGACACUUUAUAACCAUUUUAUAAUAAAAGGAGAUGGUGACAGAUAAUAUCUCCAGUGCUUUAAUCACAUUUAGUCUAAUAUCAGAUGUAUAGUGUAACUACAUGUAUCUCUAAAUAGUAUGCCAGGACUACAGAAUGUACUGUCAUCAAAUUCAUCAUAAUAUCAAUUAUGCUCAUGAGCACUGUGUAACAAGUUAAGGUUUUUGUCAAGUAUCGAGGGUCCAAUGUUGAGGCAUCCUCAUUCCCAGGGCCUCAUGGCCAUCCACAACCUUCAUGUAUAGGCCCUGGGGUACAUGGAACUGGAACUGCAAGAAAAGUUGCAGCAGUUUCUAAAGCGAAUUGGGAUGCUUCAGCACCCAUAACAAUUUUCACCAACACAGUCUCUUCAUUUGUAUGAUGUAUAUCAUCAUACUUAGAUCUAUGAUGUAUGUUGUCAUACAUGUGCGCUUUUAUAUAUGAUGUAUAUUGAUAAGUGAUAACCUGACCCUCACCCCCCCCCCCACUCUAACCCCCAACCGGAGUCACCUAACCCCUCACCCUAAUGGCGGGUGAAACGAAAAUGUUUCAUACCCUUGUAUAAAGAUGUGCUUCUUAACAUUUUCAAUCUUAAAUUUGUUGUUUUGGAGCUAAUUUUGUACAAAUUUCAGUCAAGUUCUGUCCAUAUAUUUACCUCUGUAAAAAGCGCUUCUUAGCGUGUCUAGCAUUUUCGAUUUAAAACGUGUUGUUUUGGGGCUACAUUUUUGCUUUAGUUCAAUUUUUCCUUGCGUGAUAUAUUCUGAAUGCGUAAUGAGCUAGCUUGCCGGCCCACAGAUCGAAAUUUUAAUUAAAUUAUACACUGUUUGAAAGAAAAAAUCAGUGAAAAAAAAAACACGCGCAUGAGCAGAACGCAGACUUCACAGCCUCUUUAAAUACUACUUAUAAAUGCCAAUCAAAAGCUACAGUUGAGAUUUCAAACGUGUGUGGUGCAUUAUCUACGUUGUCUCGGAAUGCAAGUAGCAAACUAUUGUUUUGUCUAUUGAAUCAGGACUUGUUUACACGCAUAAAAACGCUCAGGUUGAUGCAAUACUGAUGAAAACAGGAUUGAACAAUGUUUUGCUGCCCACAUUGUUCAUAGCUGUCAACAAUAUUGAACAAUAUUGUUACACCCGAUUCAGGCUCAACAACAUUGUUCAAUAUUGUUGACAGCUAUGAACAACGUGGACAGCAAAACAUUGUUCAGUCCUGUUGAGCAACGGGCUCGGCGUUUUUUGCCGUGUACAUAACACGCGCUAUAUUUAUUUUGCCGAAAUACAUUGCCAUUGCCGAUGGCGGCUGAUAAGUCCAUGCCACAACAUUAAGCAAAUUAUUUUGCCCGCAAAUUUCUACCCCCAAAAAAAAAAAAUUGGACAAUAAAGAAACCAAAAUAUUUUAAAAAUACGACCCUCGACUUUUGAUUAAUGACCCUCGACACUCGACUUUCCACACUCGACCUCCCAUCCUCGACAAAAACCUAAACUCCUGUGCAGCAUCAUUGUUAUGAAAUACUGAAUUGCUAAAAGUAAAAAUAGCUAACACAAACAAACCACAUUUAUUAAACACGCAAAGAAAAUGAUUUAAAAAGAAAUUUAAUUUUAGUUGUGUCAUAUGUGUGUGUGUGUGUGUGUGUGUGUGUGUGUGUGUGUGUGUGUGUGUGUGUGUGUGUGUGUGUGGUUUUCUAUUGAAACAAAUUACAAUAAUAGCAAUAUUACUGUUAAAUAAAGUAAAGUAAACAUAACUCCAAUUCGAAGUACUUAAAUGACUGUCACUAACAUUGGACUGUUCGAAACGCACACAGAAAAAACAACUUCCAACUUAUUUACAAUAAACUUUCUUUAAAUUAACCUCGAGGUUUUUAGCUACGUUCCAGACCCCCAACCCGCUACUGAACUAUAACGUGAUGUAGAUUGAGAACAAUAUAAAUUGAUAAACGGUAGCUACAUAAUUAUGUUGUUUAUAGAUUGAUUAUAGAGCGUUGCACAUGUCGUCACAGCCGCCAUGUUCAACAUGGUGUUCCAAUUCAAAAGAAUUUUAAUUAGACUCUUUUGUCUGGAACACCAACGUGGCCACCAUGGCUUAAACGGUUAAACAAUUCACAAAUAAUUAUGGGCAUAUCAGGAACAAAAUCUUUGUGAAACAUGGCGAAAAUACGAACAAAAAGCAACUUAUAAAAGUGACAGGCAUAAUAACUAAACAAAAUAAUUCGUACAUCGUAUAAUUUGUUGAUGUUUGCAUGAACAAAAGCGCACCAAAACCCUAUCAAAUUGCUAAUAAAACCUAUAGUAUGUUUAGACUUACAUUGAUUGUCUUUUAGUCACAGUAUGCAUAAAUUUCUUCCUUUUUUUGGUAAAACUUUUCGAGAUUUAAAGAAAGAGAUCAACUUGUUCGUUUGUUGCUACGCUACGUCAUUUAGGGAAUAUCGGGGGGAGGUGUCUUUCGUAAACAAAGAAGUGUUUCCGUUCUACAAAAUUGUUUAAAAUUAAAUUUCAAAAUAAAGUGGAAACUGCACUUCGCAAUUACGAUUUUGUAAUCACGCGUAGCCUGCGAACAGGCUCUCAAGUUGAAUUGAGAGCCUGCACUGAUGAUAUACAAUUUUGAAUAUCUGCCCCGUAACGUUCGUUUUUCCAAAUAUGGAAUGUCUAUCCUUAUAUGGUGUUGUUUACAACUUUCGUGCAAACUAAAUUUAGACCGUGCAAACUAAAUUUAGACCGUACAGUUUAUACUGUUUUUCGAAAUAUAAGAUAUUCAAGCAGAAGUUUAAAUGUUUUAAAUACUGUUUUCUCAAAACAAUACUGUUUUCUCAAAACAGAACAUUUCAUGCUUUGAGAUAAGAUGGUCAAGACCAAUUUGAUCAGUUAAUGUGUUUUUUACUCAUAGUUCAGCAGUUGACAUAUAUAGAGCUCAGCGGAAACAUAUAAAUUAUAGCAUCGGACCAAUGAGAAUUUCGCGUCACGAUUUGAGACGCAGAUAUUCAAAUUCAUUAGUCAUCGAUGCAGGCUCUCAAUUCAACUUGAGAGCCUGUUCGCAGGCUAAAUCACGCGUUUUAUAACAAACAUAAACUUGCAGGGAAGUGAGUCCGGGAUUGGACGCACCUCGGGUGGCUGGAAGUUUCCCGAACUUACCGAGCGAAACGAGGUGAGUUCGCGAAACUUCCAGCCACCCGAGGUGCGUCCAAUCCCGGACUCACCGAACCUGCAAGUAUAUAUGUUUGAUUUUUACCCCAUACACCGAGCCAUGCACAUUGUAGACAUUGUAGCUCUUUGCGAUAUAUUCGUCGAUGUUUUGUCAACAUUUUCUCGGCCAAAAAAAUGAAUGGGCUCUUAACAUUUCUUUAUCUACGUUUAGAUUACCUUUAUUGCAUUUUUUCUUUGGUUUUUCUUCAGUCUCAGUAGGUUAGUCACCGAAAAAAGUUCUUUAAAGUAGGUUUAUCGGCUAAAUCUUGUCCGCCAUAUUUGUUAUUGUUAUUCCAACGUAAGCAGUUUAGCGGGUGAGUUCGGGCGAAAAGCAGGUGAGUUCGGCAAAAAGCAGGUGAGCUCGACGACAAGCUAACCUGCUCUAAACCAAUCAGAAAGUCGCUUUUAAUAUAGGUAUGGGAUAAGAUUUCAGACCAAAUUGCACUCCACUCAUUGCAAUUACCAUUAUUAAUUUGUAAGGUUGUAACUGUAAGUUUGUUAUCAAACGCUUUCCACCUAGUGACGAUUUAUACUUAGACCAAAACAAUGCAGCUGUAGAGUUUUGUAUUAACAAGGCAAUUUCGAGAGCGAUUUUUUAUUCUGUUUUUUUUCGUCGUCGAGUAAUCGAGUUUGCGUUAGCCGCAUCGCAGGCUCAGAUUCCAGUGUUCCAGUCGUUUCAGCUUACUAUACAGAUCAGUUUUGAAGAUGGCGGCCAUUCAAUGAGUGACUAUUUCAGUCUCAAACAAUUUAUUCAUUUGUCAACGAAUUUUACCGCGCUUUUCUGUGGAUUUUGGAUAUCUCCUAUACUCUGCACUUUCUUGGAAGCUGGCUGGGUAUAUACGUUUAAUACGGACUCAGGGAAUGUAAACAAUGUUGUCUGCGUUAGCGCAUCGCAUGCUCAGAGACAAUGUGCAUUUAUGGAUAACGUUUGUAUUUGUGAGUUAUACUUGUGUUUCAUUGGACAUUACGAAAACAUCUCCUGAGGAUUGCGCCACGCUUUCACGCUUUGCGGUUCACGAUGUGUCGUCAUUUUCAGGUCAGUUUGAACGCCUGAGCAGACGUCUUGUUGUAAAUUACGGUAAAAUUGACUUGCAUGUAUUUAAAAAUAAAUGUGUUUGACCUAAUCUUUUACAGUAAGUACACUGUCAAGGUAAUUGCAAGUUAUGGUGCAAUAGACCAUGUUUGAAAAGAAAUCUGUUACAGCCUUUGUACGGUAUAAAUACAGUGUUCGGUUAAAAAACAAUUUAUGUACAAUUACAGCACAUUCUCUGGCGUCCCAGCUCCCAGUACUUUUUAAUGUAAAAUUACAGGGUUUUUUAAAAUAUAACAUCCUGUUGACAAUGUGAGAUUUCCGAUUCCCAGUUGUAAAUAUCAAAGAAACUAUUCAUGCAGCACUGCAGCUAUACUUAUUUUGAAAUUUGAACGAGUCCGCUUAUAUAGAAUACAGUUCAAACAUCACGCCUGUAUACAGUAAAUCUAUCGAACCUAAUUCGUGUUAUUACAGUAACAAUAAAGAGUUCUCUGUCAACGCCGGCGCGCCGCAAUCGCGACGCUGAUCACCCCAAACAAAAAUUUUAAUUCGUGUUAUUACACUGACCUGAAAGGUCAAGUGUUUUAAAUCCCUAAUUUUCUGUUUUCUGUUUUCGUCGUCGAGAAAUCGAGUUUGCGUUAGCGCAUCGCAGGCUCAGGGUGCAAGGAUUAAGCCAAAAUGCCAUUGCUUCUUCGAUUCCACGAUUUAUAUAUCAUAGUAACAAGUUCGCAUUUAUGUACGUAAUAACCGGCUCAUGCCAUGCUUGUGGUACAUUUUUCGUUUAUCAGCCCAUAUAUUGACUUGUACACACGCGCACAAUUCCGAAUUCCAAGGGUGACAUAUUCAGUCCAGUUUCAAAAUGGCAGCUUUUGGCUGAGUGAUCAAAAUAUAUUUCACACAGUUUCGUUGAAUUUUCAAAGAGUUGUGCUGGUUUCCUAUCAAUUUUACGUUGCGUCGCACUCUGGACUUUCUUGCGUGUUGAAUUAAUGUAACGAUGAAUUAAUUCUUUGUGUAACGACUCGAAAACCCCAAAAUUUGGACUCAGCGAAUUUUAAUAUACAAUAUAAUGGAACAUAGACUAUAGUGGAAUACAAUUAACAAGGACAAGUUAAAGGUUUGACAGUUUGACUUUAAUGAACAACUAUAAAUAUACGUUAUAGACUCAUAAACAUCCGUUGUGUACUUGUGUUCAUCUUUGUGUCGCACUCUGGACUUUCUUACGUGUUGAAUUAAUGCUUUUCUUUUUUUAUUAAACGACUCGAAAACCCCAAUAUUUCGACCCAGCGAAUUUAUACAAUAUAGUGGAAUAUAAACAAGGACAAGUUAAGGUUGACAGUUUGACUACACAACGUAGUUUUCAUAUAACAAAAUCUCCUAAUUCCUUACGAUAGUUUUAGCCAAAUGUCAACAAUACAUCUUACGAACAUGUACUAAAAUUCGCGCAGUACUAGAAUUCGUGUAGCGCUGGGUGCGCAAAUUUUAGUACUGCGCGAAAUAUAAUCCGCGCGAAAAGCUUUGUGGUAGCUAGCGCUACAGUAAAGAUAAAGCGUGCGUUCAAAAUACCAACAAGGACUAAAACAUUUAUUGUAUGGUUCUCAUUUGCUUUAUAAUACAAUAACAUUAGUUCGACGCGAAUUUUAAUACAAGUAAGGUAUGGUAUCAUAUUUCAUAAUAUAAGGGACAAUGUAAACUAGUCAUACAUUUCGCCGAACAUAUAAAGCUUUUCGUUUUAAGGGGAGGGGGAGAGGGGGGGGGGGUAUGCUCGCUGAGAUAUUUAUAAUUAGAAACAAUAAAAAUCGAAAAAUUUGAAUUGGGGCGUGACGCGAAAUUAACCCAUUUACAGGCAGUACUUUGCUGGCAGUGCAAUUGUCUAUACAGUAAAUACUAAAGUAGAUAGACAGUAAAUACUAAAGUAGGGUGCAUUGUCAGCUAAUGGGUUAAUAAAAUACAUUGGCAGAUGUGUUUGUUAAACCAUUUACUGACAGUACUCUACCACUGACAAGUAAAAUCGUCUGGCGGUACACGGUGUAAAUUUGUCUGGCGUUAGUCUAUUAGUUAUUACUGAAAGUAGCGUGUGUUGCCAGCUAAUAGAUUAGUAGACCUUAAAAUUCACUUGCUUAAAUGAUGAACGAGAAACAAAUUUGUGCACGAAACAUAGGGGAUAUAACCUUCAUGUGCAGGCCUGCCAUUCUACCAAUGAUGAAACUUGGAAAUGAUGCCAUUGGGUCAAAAGUAAACUUCCCUUUAGAGAAUUGUUUAGAAAUACAAACGUUUGCAUUCAGUUCAUGUGGCAAAAAGGCAGCACUUUCCUUGCGAUAGUAACUCCUAGUUAUAGAUUUGCACCAUAGGGCAUAGGUCUCCCAAAAAGGUCUUCUAUAUUUUAAAAAAAUCCAUACAAUUUGCUUGCUGUUUACGACUUGUAUUCUUGUCUACUGCACCAUAGCAUGCAUGUCGUCAUUUUCAGGUCAGUGUGAACGCCUGAGCAGGCGUCUUGUUAUUAAUAAUUCAAGAGGUUAAUGUAAAUUAAAUAUAGAAACGUAGUAUAAGCAUCCUACACCGAAUGACACACUUCGACCAUCUGACACCAUCUGUGCCAUCUAACCAUCAUACACCAUCUGACAAACUUCGACCAUCGUACACCAUCUGUACCAUCUUCACCAUCAGAAAACCCUUCCCUGUCUAACCACCCUACACCAUCGGACAACCAUCUGACACACUUCCACCAUCAUACAUCAGCACCAUCUUCACCAUUUGAUAACCCUGACACACUUCGACUAUCUUAAACUAUCUGUACCAUUUGACAACCCUUCCCUGUCUAACCAACCUACACCACAAACCCCUCGUAUUGAUACUAAAGGUGAAAAAGUGAGCUGAACUGACUUCCAUGAAUUUGGUGUCGAGCCUUUCUUCCGACCUAAAUGCAGGGUGUCUAAAAAAAAGAAACCUUUAGAAAUCAUCCUUUUGUUAUAAUUUGAAUACCUGAGCACUAUGCUGAACCCACGGAUAUUAUAAAAAGAAAUAAAAAUAUCCUUGUUAUAUUAGAAAUUAAAAUAUCCUUGUAAAUUCCCUGCUCCUGGGAAUUUAAAAUAACUUAGUUCUAAUAGCAUAAAGUAGAAGAACUGCACAAAAUGUCAAAUUACAAAUUAGUCAAACUCACACUAUCGUUCGAGUAAAAAUGGUUCAACUGACCACAUAGCAAAGAGUUUUUAUUGUGUUAAAUUAUACGUAAAUCAUAUUUGAGAUCAGUGUUGUUUUUUAUUCAUUCGUGGCGUAGCUGAAGCACGGUUGACAAACUGCUAAAAAACUCCGUAAAAAGGCUUUGGUUUUGAUCCAAUCGACACUUUUCUGCUUAACUAACAAAACAAUAAAGAAGGUAAACAGAUUAAAAUGAUUUAUUUUCCUCCUCAUUUUACAAAAAUGACUUGCUUGAAAAUUGUUCUUUUAACAUGCAGCCAGGAAUUUUACUUAGGGAAAACAUUUUCAAAUGUUUAUUACAACAUUUUUUAAAAAUAUUUAAACGAGUGGAGUCCAGAACUCUUGUUUAAUCUGUCCACUAAGGUAUUUAAAAAAGUUUGAGGAUGAAUUGAAAUAUUGAAUUUGUUCUAAUAUCUAUAUGCGAAAUAUAGUACAGCCACAGCUUUUUCGAUGUUUCAGUAAAAGAAAUAUUUAUUUUUUCGCAUUUUGGUCUGAGUAAAGUACAUUUCAGGCUUGAUACGAACUGCAUCGGAGUAAAUUUAGUUUAUUUUCCUAUCUUUUGUAUCGUUAGGGUGAGUUUUUAAAUUUUCUGGGUAGUUUUUUUGAGUUUGAAAAUUGUCUGCACUCCGUUUUGGUUUGGCGCAAAACGCGGGAGACCGUAUCGUGUCCUCUUGUCAGCCAAUCGUUAUUAAUAAUAUUAAAUAUGUGAUAUAUUGAAUUUUUACCUUUUACUGUUUUAGCUUUAACGUGGAUUGAAACAUUCAAACAUGGCGUUGGUUUUCAAUUAUGGAAAAUUUUCAACAUGCAUUGGACUUCUAUUAACAUUGUCUGAAAUCAGAGGUCAACUUGGUAAGAAAAAACUCUUUUUGUAAAAUGAAGAUUGGAAUUAACCAAUAAAUAAUUAUGUCUUAUUAAAUGGUCUGGUAUGACCUUUCCGAAUAUUUUACGAGUUUCGAACGCAUUUUUCCAAGCUCCUGAAAUGACAAGGAAAAAUGCGAGAUAAUAGUAAGUGCUCGGCAGGAUUAUAGUCAAAUUAUUCAAUACGAUUUUUAUUAUGUGACAAACCUCACUGAAAAUUAGAUUUCAUUGUGUUAUUUAAAGGAUUUGCAGCAUGCAUUUAGUAUAGGUAAUCACACAGGAAGGAGUGCAAUUAAUGAUUAACACUACGAGUGAUAUUUGAAAAAUGUGCCAAAAUUGCACGAGCCGCCGAGGCGAGUGCAAUUUGGCACAUUUUUCAAAUAUCACGAGUAGUGUUAAUCAUUAAUUGCACGACUUGCCCGUGUGAUUAUUUAUUUAUUAUAUGCAUGACAAAAUCGCUUUCUUUAUAUUUCAACUGCAUUUUGUCAAGAGUUUUUAAUUCUUUUGCAAGAAAUUUGGUAUAAACAAACUUGAGAAAUGAUUAUAAACUCAUAAAGGCACAUAACUUAAACUAGAACACAAGAUUCAAACUCAAACAACAUAUUUUAGACGAAGAAAAUCUUUAUAAAUUGUAUUUCAAACUUACAUAGUCACGUUUCGCUGCAUCCCGCCAAGAUUAUUUCUUAAGACUGUUUCCAGGUAUUUUCCACAUGUUCGUUUUGCCAUACAAUGUUUCUUAAACUCAUUCUUGUGCCAAAAUUCAGUUAAAUUCGUCUACAUUUGUUAGAAAUACUUAUCUAAAUUUCGCCGCCAUAUUGGAUUUUGUUGUUUUGAUUUCCCGCUCCCCCCAGCCAUCACGAAAAUCAUUAAUUGCACUCCUGGAGAGUGCAAUUGAUGAAAUAAUUGCACUCCUCUUAACCAAUCAGAUUGCAGUAAUUUUGUCAUGUAUAUAAUAAAAGCUGUAAAUGGCAAUUUCAGAAUUUCAGUGAUAAUUAAUUAUGACACUGACGUCAUCGUUCUUCAGUAGAUGAUUCCAGCUAUAUAGACUAAAUUUUGAUCUAGGCUAAAAGUAAAAUCCAUCAGCUGGAAGGAGCAUGUUAAAAGAUCAUAGGUAGACGAGGUAUCUCAAUACGCAGGCUUACUUUCAGCGUUAAGCUUUAAUAAAAGUGAAUUGAAUCCAAACAUGAACGUUUUGCUGUAGUACCCUUUUCAAAAUUUAUAUUUGAAUCUGAAUCAGGAUUUCGCUUUUUCUGUCUGAUACAUCCUGUAUAGGAAAAUAAUUAAUGCGCAGGAUUAUACGCAAUACUUGUCGAAUUUUAUUUCCUAACUGUACAAUUACAUGUGUCCGGGAUUCGUAAACUUGAAUUCUUGUUGCUUUUUUAAAUAUUUUUUAAAAUUUGGUUAACAUUAAACAACUAUAGACAUUUUUUUGAAGGCUCGCGUUGCUCGCGUCAUGGCAAAAAUAAAUUAAUAUUUUACACUUUUAACCACAAAACUACAGAUUUCUAAAAUAUAUAAAGGCCCUGUCACACUAUUACGUAUGAGAGAAACAUAUGAGAAGCGUAUGAAAAUUAAUGAAAUAAUUUUCAUACGCACAAAAAUCCUUUGAAAUGCCAGCGUAUGAGUACCGUACAUCUGGUGUACCUCUAGCGUAUUCAGCGUGUGCCUAUAGUAUGCUUAUCGUAUAAAGCAUACGUCCGAAUACGCACAAAAUUUUUGAGCAUGCUUAACAAAAAUUUCUGCCACGCCGUAUGCCAUGCACCGCAUGCGACCGUGCUUGAAACGUAUAUAUAAAACCUAUGCCUAACGUACCCCUAGCGUAUGUCAGCGUAUACCGGCGUAUGAGUGAUAUUUUUCAUACGCUAGUACGACACGCAAUAGUGUGACCAUGUUUUGGAUGUGUUCUCUGAUAUUUAUGAUUAAUAAUUAACAAUUAUUCGCCGAAGGCGAGGUGAUUAUCGGUGAAUAAAAACCGAGACGAAGUCGAGGUUUUUAUUCACGAUAAUCACCGAGCCUGAGGUGAAUAAUUGUUUUAGUAUGAUUUCAUAGGUGAUUAUUUGGAAAAAAAUUUAAAAUGCACAUUUCUUUGUCACUUAAUUGACAAAACGGCUUCGGCCGCCAUUUUGAAAAUAAGCAGGUGAUUAUCGCGUAAUAAUCACCUCAACGGCAACCAAUCAGCGUGGAGAAUUUUCAAUAAUCACCUAUGUAAUUAUACUAAUGCCUGUUAUUGAUAAGAGAGAUACUUUAAUUGAACAAGUUAAUUUUACGUGAAUUACCAUUUUAUAAUGUUAAUUUUAUUCAAGAUUUCAAAAUUAUAGCCAGGUAUCUCAGGAUUAAAAUUAGAAAACUUACUAUCUCUAAUCUUAGUUUCAGUAAUACCCAUGCAUGACGCUAAAAUUAAAAUUAAGCUGAGAUAAUAAAUGCGUUUGGAAAUCUUCCAGAUUACGUUUCAAGCUCCUCACGUUAUUGUGUAUAGCAUCGAAAAACUGGUAUCAGUAAAAUAAUUCGUUUGAGAUUUCUUUAAAUUACUAAAUUUACGAGGUGAAUAAUACUGAGUUUGUAAAGCUGAUGAUUUAAGUUAAUACUUUCAGUGUUCGUAUUUAAAUUAAAUAGGCCAAAGUCAUGCAUACUAGGAUGUUUAUCGAAAUCUUUUAUAUAGUAGGAAGGUUAGUGGUUACGCUAAAUAUAGCGUAACCAUAUAUGCAUCUCUUCACUAAUUUAAACGUUUUAUCGAUUUAUCAAUAUGAUUUAUUAUAAAUCGGUUUGUAAUUUAAUGUAGGACGUCUCUAACAGCUCUUGUCCAUCAACAAUUUCCGAUUAUUUUAAUCGGUCCAGAAAUAUUCAUACCCAUAAGACUAGGCAUAGUGCAUCUAAUAACUUUUACAUUGAAUAUUCAAGACUAAAAAAAUUAAAUGCUUCUUUUGUGAGAUCUGGAGUGAAAAUAUGGAACAAUAUACCUUCCAAUGUACGUGAAUAAGGGAAAAAAAUUAAUAAAGCAUUGCAUAAAUCUUUGUUAACAAUUCUUGGGCUAGAGGAUGAUUAUGUUGAUUGUAUUGUAUAUUGUAGCUUUUUAUUUUUAUAAUCUGUUCCAGUAGAUUCCUGUAAGAUGACUGGCAAAACUAACUACACCAGAAAUAUUCCACUGGGAUCAAGCUUUUCUGUCACCGCCAUGUAUGAGUGCACUCCGCCUGCAGUAGUGGAAAUAUGCAUUUGGCGACUUAAAAACGUGGAUUUAGCAUUAAUACGGUUUCCUUUCCCUUCUUUGUCAUAUUAUUAUGGUCGCACCGAUGUGGAAAUCACUGGCAAUACUUCAAUGUCUACACUGACAGUACGCAAAGCUACAAUGGAAUAUAAUGGGACAUUAUUUGCAGUCAUACAAGAAGGUGGAAGAAACACCUCAGCUGGCAAAGUGCCCCCUCGAUAUUUGCUUAGAGUAAAGGUCAUUAUAACAGGU